RNAcentral lists this long non-coding RNA (472 nucleotides) under Citrus x clementina. RNAcentral's name for it is "Citrus clementina (C. clementina) long non-coding RNA (CCLE_LNC003981)". Lineage: Eukaryota; Viridiplantae; Streptophyta; Magnoliopsida; Sapindales; Rutaceae. The record is from RNAcentral.
AUAUUGAUAUAAUUAAAUUUACCAAAACAAAAACAUUUCCACCAGAAAACUUAAAUCAAACCCAAACCAACCCACAGUUAAAAAGCGAUUGGGUUGGUACGAUUGGCCCAAUUUUAACCUAAACUCUUUCUAUCUACACGUAUAAGUUCAGUCGAAGCUUCUUCUAUUUUUCUUCGUCCAUUUCGUUUGCAAGCUCGAACUCUUAAAACGAUGCAACUGAAAGUUCGGAGAACAACCAUUUAAAGAGCCAAACCAAUAUGUUAAGAUUCUGAUUUUGUGAAAAUACGAACAGACUCGAAAUUAAAUAAUUUUAAUACUGAUGUACCAGUAUGUAUUUCUGGGAUUUAAUAUUAUAUAUGGUUCAAAAUAGACAUACGUGCAAUUAAAGCGCAACACUAAUAAUAAGCUCAAAGAAAUAAACAAUUGAAGUCCAACAUCGAUGCAAUAAGGUCAAAGAAGUACACAAUUUUUU